AUAGGCCCACUUUGCCCGGGCUCAAAAUCACAAAGAAAUAAAAACCAAAAAAUAAUUAAAUGUCCAUUUACAGAAAUUUAAACCCAGAUUAUUAAACCCAAAAUUCAGGCCCAAAUAUUAAGACUCGAAUAGCCCAACAAGUCUAAACCCAGCUACAGCCCAAACCCAAUUAAGCCCAAACUAAACGACCCGAAUCCCAGAAACCCCUAAGGUUUCUGAAAUACUCUCGUGCCUCAGCAGCAACAGUUUUUUUUGCCCUCGCGCCGCAGCAGAGUCAGACCCCGCGCGUGCUGCUCCUCCGCGCCAGGUCCACACGUACCUCCUCCAGGCCGUACCUGCACACAAGCAAACAAGCCAAAACAAACAGAAAACAACAACAAAUAAAAAAGAGCAAAAGAUAUUUUGUUGUAAUUUUUCGUUUUCUUUUUAUUUUCUAGCUAUAUAAAAGCCAAAUACGCAUUGUAAAAGGGUUACACACACAGAGGAUAUCAAUAGAAAAAUCAGAAAAGUAAAAAGGCUGAGUUUUUUUUGGAGGUGAUUUCCUUUUUAAAGUUUUCCUUUCUUUUUUCUUUCUGCCUUUCGGUUCCUUUUCGAUUCAUAUCUCCUUUCUUCCUUUUUUAUCAGAGAUAUAUAAGAAUAGAUAUAAAAAAAGGAGUGAAAUUACCUUUUAACGGCGCCUUUGGAUCUUCGCUCCCUCCGUCGCCGUCGGAGUCUGGGCGGAGAUUAAUCGACAUUCAGACGGCAAGAUUUUUAAGGGAAGAGUGGCUAGGGUUUUGCCAAC
RNAcentral lists this long non-coding RNA (781 nucleotides) under Gossypium raimondii (Peruvian cotton). RNAcentral describes it as "long non-coding RNA (GRAI_LNC005251)". The record is from RNAcentral. Lineage: Eukaryota; Viridiplantae; Streptophyta; Magnoliopsida; Malvales; Malvaceae.